UAUCAUUAAUUUGGGUUAGGUUGGAUUGAAUCAAAAUUUUCAACCCCAACUUGAGACCCAACCCAACUUGAAAAAAAAUUAAUUUUUUUAACUCAACCCAACCCAAAAUUUAAACUUACCCAACUCAACCCUUAUAAAAGGAGUUGGAUAGUUUGAGUUGAUGAGUUCUUUGUCUUUUUGAGUCAUUGCUUUAAGUAGCUUUUAUGGAUCCGUGAGGAAUUUCAAUGUCUUUUGCUAGCCGAUUAUGGCUUUGAUCUUCGCUUUCCAUAAGGUAAAAUCUUCCUUACCAUCAAACUUUUUAAUAUUAUACCUUGCUACUGACAUCUUUGAAUUUCUUGAAAUCAAGAAUGUGAUUCUUGGAGCUUUCAUGAAUCUCUGAUACCAAUUUGAAGGGGUUGCCACUUGUAUGGACACAAAGAAGCCAUUUAUUUCCAUGUUUCUUCUUUUGGUGUCCUUUAGAUGAUGGUGAGAUGAAAAGAAGAUGAAGAGAGGAAGAAGGAGAAGAUGAACACACAAUGUUUUAAAGUGGUUCGACAAAAUGCCUGCGUCCACUGUGCUUUGGGAGCAAGAUAUUAUUUCUUUUCAGUUUUUGUUGUGUAUGAAAUAUCAAAGUGAUAGAAGAUAUAUUUAUCGAUUUUUCCAUGUCCCUUAGUUAAAACCUAGUUAGACCAGAAGUUAAAACUAACAGAUUUAACUAUAUGUCUUAUACAACAAGAGAUAACUGUUUUAGUAAGAGUUUCCCACCAUUACUUUAGAUA
Cucumis sativus (cucumber) is the source of this 758-nucleotide long non-coding RNA. RefSeq lists it as uncharacterized. The record is from RefSeq and is a predicted model, not a curated record. The transcript is spliced from 2 exons. Lineage: Eukaryota; Viridiplantae; Streptophyta; Magnoliopsida; Cucurbitales; Cucurbitaceae.